Molecule: ribosomal RNA, 545 nt
Filed under: fungal endophyte
Lineage: Eukaryota; Fungi
Description: eukaryotic LSU rRNA
Rfam family: 5.8S ribosomal RNA (bases 180-333)
Source: RNAcentral
UUAAAGAGUUCUAUAACUCCCAAACCCAUGUGAACAUACCUAACGUUGCCUCGGCAGGUCGCACCUACCUUGUAGCACCCUACCCUGUAGGGCCUACCCGGGAGGUGCGGGUAAGCCUGCCGGCGGCCCACCAAACUCUGUUUGAUAUUGAAUUCUGAACCUAUAACUAAAUAAGUUAAAACUUUCAACAACGGAUCUCUUGGUUCUGGCAUCGAUGAAGAACGCAGCGAAAUGCGAUAAGUAAUGUGAAUUGCAGAAUUCAGUGAAUCAUCGAAUCUUUGAACGCAUAUUGCGCCCAUUAGUAUUCUAGUGGGCAGGACCGUUCGAGCGUCAUUUCAACCCUUAAGCCUUCGUUGCUUAGUGUUGGGAGCCUACGGCAACGUAGCUCCUCAAAGUUAGUGGCGGAGUUGGUUCACACUCUAGACGUAGUAAUUUUUUAUCUCGCCUAUUAGUUGGACUAAUCCCCUGCCGUAAAACCCCCAAUCUAUAUCAAGGUUGACCUCGAAUCGGUUCAGACAAACUCGCUAAAUUGAAGCAUCUUAGUC